GAACGUCACCCCGUAGAGACUGCAAUGGCACCGCUUGAUGGAGCAAUCCAAAUUUAUGAGCGAUGCAAUACGCCGGCCCCGAUUUCUGACGAUCGGGUGAAGGUAUAGUCCUGCCCCAUUCGAAAGAUGGGAUGACGCAGGUCGUCAGCUCGUGCCGUGAGGUGUUGGCUUAAGUGCCGCAACGAGCGCAACCCCUGCUCUUAGUUGCCAGCGGGUAAUGCCGGGGACUCUAAGAGGACUGCCGGGGACAACUCGGAGGAAGGUGGGGAUGACGUUGAACGGUUGG
Molecule: unclassified non-coding RNA, 286 nt
Filed under: uncultured Actinomycetes bacterium
Lineage: Bacteria; Bacillati; Actinomycetota; Actinomycetes
Description: uncultured actinobacterium contains 16S-23S intergenic spacer region
Rfam family: Bacterial small subunit ribosomal RNA (bases 142-275)
Source: RNAcentral